RNAcentral lists this ribosomal RNA (253 nucleotides) under uncultured bacterium. RNAcentral describes it as "partial 16S ribosomal RNA". It matches the Rfam family "Bacterial small subunit ribosomal RNA", at positions 524 to 776 of the family's 1533-position model. The record is from RNAcentral.
UACGUAGGGUGCAAGCGUUAAUCGGAAUUACUAAGCGUAAAGCGUGCGCAGGCGGUCGUGCAAGAAAGAUGUGAAAUCCCCGGGCUCAACCUGGGAACUGCAUUUGCGACUGCACGGCUGGAGUACGGCAGAGGGGGAUGGAAUUCCGCAUGUAGCAGUGAAAUGCGUAGAUAUGCGGAGGAACACCGAUGGCGAAGGCAAUCCCCUGGGCCUGUACUGACGCCCAUGCACGAAAGCGUGGGGAGCAAACAGG